UACGUAGGGGGCAAGCGUUAUCCGGAUUUACUGGGUGUAAAGGGAGCGUAGGCGGCUUGGCAAGUCUGAUGUGAAAGCCCAGGGCUCAACCCUGGGACUGCAUUGGAAACUGUCAGGCUAGAGUGCAGGAGAGGUAAGUGGAAUUCCUAGUGUAGCGGUGAAAUGCGUAGAUAUUAGGAGGAACACCAGUGGCGAAGGCGGCUUACUGGACUGUAACUGACGCUGAGGCUCGAAAGCGUGGGGAGCAAACAGG
RNAcentral lists this ribosomal RNA (253 nucleotides) under uncultured Clostridium sp. RNAcentral describes it as "partial 16S ribosomal RNA". It matches the Rfam family "Bacterial small subunit ribosomal RNA", at positions 524 to 776 of the family's 1533-position model. Lineage: Bacteria; Bacillati; Bacillota; Clostridia; Eubacteriales; Clostridiaceae. RNAcentral also lists the same sequence under 2 other names. The record is from RNAcentral.